RNAcentral lists this long non-coding RNA (723 nucleotides) under Manihot esculenta (cassava). RNAcentral's name for it is "long non-coding RNA (MESC_LNC008379)". Lineage: Eukaryota; Viridiplantae; Streptophyta; Magnoliopsida; Malpighiales; Euphorbiaceae. The record is from RNAcentral.
UUAAGAGAGAAAAUUGAUUCAUUGCAUAUUGAUUUAAAAAUUAGAAUAAAACAGUGUAAACAUAGAAGGCCCAAUUCACUAAGCAAUACAAAACCUUAAAACUAUCUCAACCCACAAGAGAUAAGCCCACGACCGACAACCAUAAACCUGAAACAUUCGAGAACAAGAGAUUUAGAAUCGAAGCUUCAUCGUUCCCACAUCUCUUGAGAUUUAUCCAGAAUCCAUCUGAAAAAAAGAAAAACUUAACAUGCACCCAAAAAAUAUAGAUACAAAAAGACUAAAAAAAAAAAAAACUUUAAAAGCUUAAACAAAUUAGCUAAGAAGUAUUAAAUAAAAGAUAAAAAACUAUCAUUAUAAGAAGGAUCUAGAACCAAGAGGAAUAUCCAGCGGUACAAUAGAGCUCCUUUACACAAGCAGUCUUUUACAGACUAGGUAUUUCACAACCAAACAUUGUUAGGAUUUCCAAGAGUUAUCGCACCAAGUAAAAGUUAGAAACUCAUAUUUUUAAAAAAAUUAUGUGAUUUAUAGUCUACACUGAAAAGCAUUACCAAAGCAGCAAAAGAAUACUAAAGAGAGGAAAGAAAAAACAAACAGAAGACAAACCUAUCACAAUCCCUUAUCUUGAAGCUCGGUUUGCCGAUAUAACUUAAAAGAAAGUAUUUAUACCAUUCAAAACGGGAUGAAAGGAAUUCAUAAAAAUUUGAGGAAAAAAGGACGGUCGUC